GCCAGACUCCUACGGGAGGCAGCAGUGAGGAAUAUUGGUCAAUGGACGCAAGUCUGAACCAGCCAUGCCGCGUGCAGGAUGACGGCUCUAUGAGUUGUAAACUGCUUUUGUACGAGGGUAAACCCCGAUACGUGUAUCGGGUUGAAAGUAUCGUACGAAUAAGGAUCGGCUAACUCCGUGCCAGCAGCCGCGGUAAUACGGAGGAUGCGAGCGUUAUCCGGAUUUAUUGGGUUUAAAGGGUGCGUAGGCGGAACAUUAAGUCAGCGGUAAAAUCGAGGGGCUCAACCCCUUUAAGCCGUUGAAACUGGUGAUCUUGAGUGGGCGAGAAGUAUGCGGAAUGCGUGGUGUAGCGGUGAAAUGCAUAGAUAUCACGCAGAACUCCGAUUGCGAAGGCAGCAUACCGGCGCCCGACUGACGCUGAGGCACGAAAGCGUGGGGAUCGAACAGGAUUAGAUACCCCAGUAUGA
RNAcentral lists this ribosomal RNA (467 nucleotides) under uncultured bacterium. RNAcentral's name for it is "bacterial SSU rRNA". It matches the Rfam family "Bacterial small subunit ribosomal RNA", at positions 330 to 794 of the family's 1533-position model. The record is from RNAcentral.